UACGUAUGGUGCAAGCGUUAUCCGGAUUUACUGGGUGUAAAGGGAGCGCAGGCGGCACGGCAAGCCUGAUGUGAAAGCCCGCGGCCCAACCGCGGGACUGCAUUGGGAACUACCGGGCUGGAGUGCCGGAGAGGUAGGCGGAAUUCCUAGUGUAGCGGUGAAAUGCGUAGAUAUUAGGAGGAACACCAGUGGCGAAGGCGGCCUACUGGACGGUGACUGACGCUGAGGUUCGAAAGCGUGGGUAGCAAACAGG
RNAcentral lists this ribosomal RNA (253 nucleotides) under uncultured bacterium. RNAcentral's name for it is "partial 16S ribosomal RNA". It matches the Rfam family "Bacterial small subunit ribosomal RNA", at positions 524 to 776 of the family's 1533-position model. The record is from RNAcentral.